AUUUAUUCAAUUCAAUUCAAAUUCAAUUCAAUUUAUUUAUAGUAUCAAAUCAUAACAAGAGUUAUAUCAAGACACUUUAUAGAUAGAGUAGGUGUAGACCACACUUUAUAAUUUA
Sander lucioperca (pikeperch) is the source of this 115-nucleotide long non-coding RNA. RefSeq lists it as uncharacterized. Lineage: Eukaryota; Metazoa; Chordata; Actinopteri; Perciformes; Percidae. The transcript is spliced from 3 exons. The record is from RefSeq and is a predicted model, not a curated record.